Molecule: long non-coding RNA, 2431 nt
Filed under: Mus caroli (Ryukyu mouse)
Lineage: Eukaryota; Metazoa; Chordata; Mammalia; Rodentia; Muridae
Description: lncRNA (MGP_CAROLIEiJ_G0004507.1)
Source: RNAcentral
GUCUCACAUCUUGCAAGGGACCAUGGCAAGGUUUGGCAAAAGUGGAGAAUUCCUGUGAACAUCUGCCCCAGGGAAAGGAAUGUCCUCAGGUUUGGCAGCAGGAGCCGGCUUCUCUCAGAGAAUGCCUGGUUUGUGAAUCACCCGGAACAGUCAACUACAGGUUAUAACUGACUGAACCUAACUUUGUUUGCUAUCUUAGAAGCCACCUAGAAAGCAGAAAUGGGAAUGGAAUUGACCAUCUGUAUCCUUACUAAUGGGCAAACUCCCCAAGUGCCUUUUUUGUCUCCCUCGGACUUGGACAUCUUUUCUUUUCUUUUCUUUUCUUUUCUUCUUUUUAAAGAUUUAUAUAUUUUAUGUAUGUGAGUAUACUGUCUCUGUUUUUGGACAUCUCAGAAGCAUCAGGUCCCAUUACAGAUGGUUGUGAGCCACCAUGUGGUUGCUGGGAAUUGAACUCAGGACCUGGGGAAGAGUAGACAGUGCUCUUAAUGGCUGAGCCAUCUCUCCAGCCCUAGACAGUUUCUUUUUAUAAGUUAGCUGGAACACUUAAAAAGUGGAAGCCAUUGGAUGGCAUGAAGGCUCUCUCUCUCUCUCUGUGUGUGUGUGUGUGUGUGUGUGUGUGUAUUUCUUUCUUUUUGUUUUUUCCAGAUAGGAUUUCUCUGUAUACUCCUGUCUAUCUGUCCUGGAACACGCUCUGUAGACCAGGCUAGCCUCAAACUCACAGAGAUCCUCCUGCCUCUGUCUCCCGAGGGCUGGGAUCAAAGGUGUGCCGCCCAACCGCAGGGCACAUAAAGGUAUUUCUAAGCAUCUUUACAACCACCCUUGGCUAUAGAUGACACACGGCUGUGCCAUGAACAUCAGAGGUUUGUAGCUGUGCAUUCAUUGCGGUGCAUCAUAACCAAGAUUCAGAAUGUUAAUUAAGUUACAAUUUCAUCCCCAGAGUCACCGAGUUCCCAUAAACUGCAUGGAACAGUACUUCCUUUUUGACUGCUUUUCAGAGUGAAUGAAGAAGAGGAAGAGAGGAUUGUGGCUUAUCAGAGAGUUCACACAGGAAGGACACAGCGGGCGUUGUGUUUGAUAGACAGUCCUUUUGACCCCUGGCAGGAGAGGCAUUGGUAAAGCGUAACACAGCCUCGCCACUGACUGUGAGCCCUGUCUGUCCACCCGUAACUCUGGGAAUGAGGGAAGCAAAGCCAAUUCCAGAGGUACAGACAAAGAGUACCCUUCCCACGGAGCCCGCAUGAUAAGUGGCCCCAGAGAGCAUCCCUGUGAUCAGUCAGAGAGGCAGGCAAGUUAUUAGCUUAGCCCUGAACCUCCCACUUAAUGUAGGACCAGUGGUGAUGUUUAACAGACCCUGGCCGCGGUGACAAGCCUGGGACCUGCUCGAGGAAAUCCAAUUGAAAGGCAGCCAAGAGGAACAACAAGCUAGAAACAGAUGUUCUGGCCACCAGGAUGUACACACAUUUAACCUGAACGAGUGGCUGGAGGGAUAUAGCCAAGAGCGCUCACUCUCAAUACAGGGGGUGUCAUCCCUUCCCCAAUAUACCGAUUGUCAAGUUCAAUUACAACCAUCCACAUUUGUUUUGUCAAAUUUUUAGCAGUUCCUUUAAAAUAAGAUGUCAAACUGAUAAUAACAGCUAUUCAAGGAAUUCAAGAAACUUGAUUUAUCUACUGGAUUUUUACUAAAACAUUUCAGUAAAGUCACACACUCCAGUUUCACAGUAACUGAAAAUUAUUAUUAUUAGUUUUUUAAAGCCACCUGGAUGAAGUUCAGCUCCUCUAACAUUCUGUGUCUUAGUGGCACUUAGUUGAAACAUCUGUUAGGAGUUCUGUUUCUGCCCAUCCUUGUUUAGUUAGUCCUUGUCACUUAAAUCAGGGAAGGUACACUGGUAAACACAAACAGAGAUCCUCAAACACGAGUGUCGCAAGUCACUUAAUGUGACCUGGACACAGAUGGGAACACCUGAACAUCAGCAAUAUGUCUGUCACUCUCCUUUGAAAACAUUCCCUGCAUGGUUCUGCUGUUCUCCAACAGGCCUUGUAAAAGGCCGACAGGCUCACUGUCUUGAUUUUCCUCAAGGAAGAAAAACCCAUACGCACUCCAAUGGAUCCUAACCAGAUCUAAUGUAGAACAGCUGUGUGCUUAUGAAUGAAUGCAUGGGGAAGAUUGAAAAGCACAAAUUAACUCAUCCCACACAAGAGCCAGGUUUGAUCAGACACAUUUCUGGGGUCACCAAGUUCCUAUCUGCUCGUGGAUUAUCUAUCGGAAUAUGUCAUUCCGCAGAGAAGGGAGCAGCUAAAGGGAGCCUGCCCUGCCCUGUUCUGCCUGUGUGUGCUCUGAGACAUCCCAGGGGUAUUUACAAGCUGGGUGAUCUUAAGUGAUGCUUGCUUAAAAUCCAAGAACGACAGCAGAAAUAAAUUAACUGGAGAAUCU